CCGGACCACCGACCUCAACCUCAACCACCGUACGUCUUCGUCGCCGUGGGUUCCCCAGUUAAGACCCAGCCAAGAUCCGGAUCGAGAAACAGAGACUAGAUGGCCCAGAAUCCGCCGGAUCGAUUGAGUUGUUGGCCCAAAUCCGAAGGUGGAGCGCCGGAGCAGCCAUGGCAGAGAGAGAGUAUGGUUCGGGUGACGGCGGCGCUCGGAGGUUGAGGUCGAAUCCGG
This 228-nucleotide long non-coding RNA is filed under the name Rosa chinensis. RNAcentral describes it as "sRNA RchiOBHm_Chr1g0380231". The record is from RNAcentral. Lineage: Eukaryota; Viridiplantae; Streptophyta; Magnoliopsida; Rosales; Rosaceae.